This 774-nucleotide ribosomal RNA is filed under the name uncultured Neocallimastigales. RNAcentral describes it as "partial large subunit ribosomal RNA". It matches the Rfam family "Eukaryotic large subunit ribosomal RNA", at positions 22 to 621 of the family's 3401-position model. Lineage: Eukaryota; Fungi; Neocallimastigomycota; Neocallimastigomycetes; Neocallimastigales. The record is from RNAcentral.
AUAUCAGUCAUGCAUAGCAUAUCAAUAAGCGGAGGAAAAGAAACUAACAAGGAUUCCCUUAGUAACGGCGAGUGAAGCGGGAAGAGCUCAAAUUUGAAAUCUUCAAGGUUUUACCUUGACGAAUUGUAGUUUAAAGAAGUGUUUUCUGUUGAAGUUUUGGUAAAAGUUCUUUGGAAUAGGACAUCAUAGAGGGUGAGAAUCCCGUAUUUGACCAUUACUUUCAGCUUUGUGAUACACUUUCAAAGAGUCGGAUUGUUUGGGAAUGCAGUCCAAAAUGGGUGGUAAAUUUCAUCUAAAGCUAAAUAUUGGCGAGAGACAGAUAGCGAACAAGUACCGUGAGGGAAAGAUGAAAAGAACUUUGAAAAGAGAGUUAAACAGUACGUGAAAUUGUCAAAAGGGAAGCGUUUGACACCAGUGUUGUUUUCUCGAAAAUCAAUUAAAAAGAGUUGGAUUUUGUGUUGUAUUGACUUUAUCAGCUUUCUUCACUCUUUUCCAGCUUUUUUUAAUGCACUUUUCGUUUAACAAGUCAACAUCAGUUUCUUUUGUUGUAAAAAGGUCAUUGGAAGGUGGCUUUCUCUUCGGAGAAAGUGUUUAUAGCCUUUGACUCAUGCAAUCGGAGAGACUGAGGUCUGCAGUGUAGAUCCUUCGGGGUUAGAUACAUUUGUGCUAAGUUAUAGCUUUUCAUAGACAACUUGUUGACUAUGUUUAGUCUUGUAGCUUACUCGCUUAUGCUAUUUUACCUACGCUUAGGAUGUUGAACUCUAUCACACACAG